Long non-coding RNA from Anser brachyrhynchus (Pink-footed goose), 690 nucleotides. Lineage: Eukaryota; Metazoa; Chordata; Aves; Anseriformes; Anatidae. The record is from Ensembl.
UGUUCACCUAGGCAACAGGGGAGCUGUGCCAGUGAAAGGGGUACUGGAAGAAGAAGAAUGCCUGUUCUUAUCCCAUCUUCACUAAAAGAGAUUUGCUGAAGGAACUAAAAAGAAGAAAGAGCUAGCAUCUACUGCCUGGCCGUUCUUAUGUUUCUGACACCUACCAGUCACUGGCAUUUAGCUCAGGCCGAGCAGGAUCCCUCCGGCUAUGUGCGUGGGCGGCCGAUCUGGUUUUCUCCCAAGGUGACAGCUGCCUGCUUUGCAUUAAGGGCUGCGACUGCCCCCACCUGGUGAGAACAGAGCUUGGAAACUUGCCAUUCCCGGGAUAUUGCUGAAUGCGAGCAUCUCUGCCAAACGUGACAACCGAGCCAUGCCUGCGAAACAAAGGGUCACCCCCUACACAGGAGCACGGUUGCUAAAAGAAGCUCUUUAAAAUAGCUCCUACUCUCUGACUUGAAAUACAAACGUGAUAGAUUUGAUAUUAUUAGAUGAAAUGAAAGACUGUUCUGACACCCUAUUGUUACAGUUUGAAGGCAUUUAAUGCCCCAUUCUUUUAAUCCUGUCAUAAGUUUGCGUGAUUAUUCACAGAACCAGAGCUAGCUAAUAAGUGUUUCUAUGCAAAUCUGCUUAGUCGAUUACACUUAACGAGAUAUUAUUUUGAAAAAAAGAAACCUCAGGGUGUAGUUCGAG